This 24-nucleotide non-coding RNA is filed under the name Rattus norvegicus (Norway rat). Lineage: Eukaryota; Metazoa; Chordata; Mammalia; Rodentia; Muridae. The record is from RNAcentral.
UCAAUUUCAUGGGCUGCAACCAGC